UGGGGAAUCUUGCACAAUGGAGGAAACUCUGAUGCAGCGACGCCGCGUGAGCGAUGAAGCCCUUCGGGGUGUAAAGCUCUUUCGACGGGAACGAUAAUGACGGUACCCGAAGAAGAAGCUGCGGCUAACUACGUGCCAGCAGCCGCGGUAAUACGUAGGCAGCGAGCGCUGUUCGGAAUUACUGGGCGUAAAGAGUGUGUAGGUGGUGCUCUAAGUUUGGUGUGAAAUCUCCCGGCUUAACUGGGAGGGUGCGCCGAAAACUGGAGUGCUUGAGUAUGGGAGAGGUAAGCGGAAUUCCUGGUGUAGCGGUGAAAUGCGUAGAUAUCAGGAGGAACACCUGUGGUGUAGACAGCUUACUGGACCAUCACUGACACUGAGACACGAAAGCGUGGGUAGCAAACAGGAUUAGAUACCCUGGUAGUCCACGCCCUAAACGAUGCAUACUUGGUGUGAGCCAUUCAUUUGGUUCGUGCCGGAGCUAACGCGUUAAGUAUGCCGCCUGGGGAGUACGGUCGCAAGGCUG
This 523-nucleotide ribosomal RNA is filed under the name uncultured bacterium. Its description in RNAcentral is "bacterial SSU rRNA". It matches the Rfam family "Bacterial small subunit ribosomal RNA", at positions 355 to 896 of the family's 1533-position model. The record is from RNAcentral.